UUUUUAUUUUUUUUAACUGAAAGAUAGGACAGAAGAGGGUCAUGAAAAGCAAAAAAAGUUAAGUAGUACUUGCAGAAAACCAAGACAGUGCGUGUUGUAAAAAAUGAAUGCUUGCUAAAAGGCUUAAAAGCUUUUCAGAUAAGAAAGCCAACUUAUCUCCAAGUGAGAUGAAUCUACAAAUGGGCUGUUCAUGAGCUUCUUAGGAGGUGUGCAGGUGUGAGGUUGUUUCCGUGAGUCGGGAAACAGCCAGAUGGCAUUUGUGUGUGAUGGCAAGCAGCAGUGAUUUACAGCAGUGGUUCCUUUCACAGAUCAGCACUUAUAUCUCUGUUCCAUCUCCAGGCUCUCUGCUCAUAUAAACAUCCCCAGUCCAUGGGCCUCUGAUGUUUCUGCCUUUGUGUUUACAGUGAGAAGUCAAGCAAAUAUCUGAACUUUUGGACAAAGAGAUCAGGGAUGAACAAUAGAAAGAGAAGCUUACAGCUUGAAUGAGUUCCAGAGAAACAUUAUACUUUUUGUGAUGCAGGAUUUAUGAUUUUAUCAAAAGAAAAACAUAGAUUUUACGUAUUUACCAAACAAAAACAGCUGACUCACAUGCGUUCCUACUGAACAUCUAUGAUCCUGUGUGUUAAAUUUUACUUUGCCAGCAAAAAAUCUUCUUUCAUUCAAGUAAAAGCUUUAUACAUAUAGCAGAAGAAAACAUGUUCAAUUACACUGAUUCAGCAGAGCCAUGGGCUGACCCAGAUAGAAAAAGUCCCUCUUCAGCACUCAGUCCCUGCAGCAGCCGAAAUGAAUAGUUUAGGAAUAAAAAAACCCCAAAAGGAAAUACACAUGGCGGCAUGUUUACGCACUGUUCUGCCAGAAGUUUUUUUUUUUUUUUGCAAUAAAGCAAAUGAGAUGUAUCAUUCACUUUUGAAAAAGACGCUUUGUCUGAAAAUAAUCUGGGUAAAAUAUAAUCACGCACGUUUCCAAUCAAACCAGAAUCCUCUGCAGCGCGCUGUAACUUCAAACAUCAAAGCAGGCUCAGAGCAAUUGUCUACCACUUUGCUCCCUUUAAACUGCCUUUUUUUUAGCUUUCGAAAGAAGAAAAAUCCCCCGUACAUCAAAGAGGGAGACAGAGAAAGUCAUUUAGCCUUAUCUUAAUUGAGCUGCAAUUUUAAUAAUGAUCUUACACAUUGGGACCAAGGAGGAGCUGCUGGAGGAGAGGCCAGUUCACUCGUGCUCCACUACUCCACUCUGGCUGUCUAAUCUCAGUUCCAGACAUGUCACUGCCUUGUGAUUUAUGAUGACCUAAUGUUUUGUUUACUUCAUGUUCAAAACAGGCGAGCAGUUUGCAUGGGGCAUGCACUAUAUGGAAACAUGAAAGUGCUGGGGCAGCUUUGCGGGACUGCAAUCCCCAGCCGUUUUACAGAAAUAAACAGCUCUGUGCUGCAGCCACCUGGCAAAGCACCUCCUUCAGACUGAGGGCCAGGACUUCCAGCAGCUCAGAAGUUUAUAAAAGUCGCAGACUACGAGUUUUAAUUGGUUGGCAUGAUGCUGUAGGAGCUGCUGUCUUAAAUUAACCUCUUAAAAACACACUGAGCCACUCUGUCUAUGCAUUUUGUCAAUAAUUGACUUGCCUCUGCCAUGUGUGAGAACAAAUGUUUGGGGCCUGACAACUGCUUGACAGUAAGGUCAAGAGUCCAGUAAGCCAGUUCACUUGAGUUGAGCUUCUGUUAGUGGUGUUCUGGCAUUUAGCAAAGCAGUUGAAAGGGAUUCAAACAGGACACGCUUCAUGGAGGAAGUGUUGUUCCUCCAAAGGAAAUUUUACACAAUGGAAGCUUUAUGCUCAUCCUAUACCUGGAAAGAGGCAAGAGCAGUUUUUUUUCUAUUUUUGAAAGAACAGCAAAAAAACAAAACAAAAAACACCCAACAAACUAUUUGUAUGUCAUCCAACCUUUCUGAAUGCCAUCAGUACUCAGCUGGUUCACAGGGUUCUACUGUGAAAACAUUCACGAGUCUACAGGUUUGAAAGUGGUCAUACCUUGGAAUGCUGCUGAAGCUGAACCAAAAUACAGAUGUCCAAGUACAGUUUUGGGGGCUCCUUCCAUAAUGAAAUAUAUCUUCAACUGAAAGCUGCAAG
Long non-coding RNA from Cyprinodon tularosa, 2116 nucleotides. RefSeq lists it as uncharacterized. The transcript has 3 exons. NCBI's taxonomy places the organism in Eukaryota, Metazoa, Chordata, Actinopteri, Cyprinodontiformes, Cyprinodontidae. The record is from RefSeq and is a predicted model, not a curated record.